RNAcentral lists this long non-coding RNA (213 nucleotides) under Elaeis guineensis (African oil palm). RNAcentral describes it as "long non-coding RNA (EGUI_LNC012093)". Lineage: Eukaryota; Viridiplantae; Streptophyta; Magnoliopsida; Arecales; Arecaceae. The record is from RNAcentral.
GAGGCCUGCUAUGUCAAAAACGAGAAAAAACCCCAUCCUCUCUUUCUUUUUUGUUAGUAUAUAUCACCGUAAUCAAAGUGAGGGAUGGCAUUUGAAACUUUUAACACAAAAUAAUUAAGCAAAUUACAUUCUUGGUCCCUGAACUAAGUCGGAUUUUCUUAAAUAGUCCAUAAACUACAAAAGCUAAAGUUUGGUCCCCAAACUAUCUGAAUC